UACGAAGGGGGCUAGCGUUGCUCGGAAUCACUGGGCGUAAAGGGUGCGUAGGCGGGUUUUUAAGUCAGAGGUGAAAUCCUGGAGCUCAACUCCAGAACUGCCUUUGAUACUGAAAGUCUUGAGUAUGGGAGAGGUGAGUGGAACUGCGAGUGUAGAGGUGAAAUUCGUAGAUAUUCGCAAGAACACCAGUGGCGAAGGCGGCUCUCUGGGUCCCUACCGACGCUGGGGUGCGAAAGCGUGGGGAGCGAUCCGG
RNAcentral lists this ribosomal RNA (253 nucleotides) under uncultured bacterium. RNAcentral's name for it is "partial 16S ribosomal RNA". It matches the Rfam family "Bacterial small subunit ribosomal RNA", at positions 524 to 776 of the family's 1533-position model. The record is from RNAcentral.